This 384-nucleotide long non-coding RNA is filed under the name Ananas comosus (pineapple). Its description in RNAcentral is "long non-coding RNA (ACOM_LNC010931)". Lineage: Eukaryota; Viridiplantae; Streptophyta; Magnoliopsida; Poales; Bromeliaceae. The record is from RNAcentral.
AUAAACUUUUUCACCCUUAUUAAAUUUAUUGUUAAUUAAUUAAUCACGUUUUUAUUUAUUAUAGGAUAAACUUCAAAUACCACCUAUGGUUUCACACUUUCUUCCUUUAGUACCCUAUAGUUUAAAGUGUAUCAAUUUAGUAUCUGUAAUUUUAUUUUUCCUUUUUCGUUAGCUCCUCCGUUAACAUUUUGCUAAAUUAUAUAUAAAAAAUUUCAGAUAACCUAUCUAAAUUUAUCGAAUAUUCACUUUAAUACAUUUUAGUUUUAAUUUUAUAACUGAUUUAAAAAAAUAUAAAAAUAAAAAAAAUAAAAAAUAAAAUAAAAUUAUAAGUACUAAAUUAAUAUGCUUUAAAUUAUAUAAUUUAAAGUACUAAACUAUAAAAAU